This 747-nucleotide long non-coding RNA is filed under the name Monodelphis domestica (gray short-tailed opossum). Its description in RNAcentral is "lncRNA (ENSMODG00000041543.1)". Lineage: Eukaryota; Metazoa; Chordata; Mammalia; Didelphimorphia; Didelphidae. The record is from RNAcentral.
AGGACAAGUUUGGGAAGAAAUAAUGAGUUCAGAGUUAUAUGUAAUACAUGUUAAAUUUCUGUUACAUGUAAGGCAUCAAGUAACAAGCAAUAACGUGGAAGGUAUAAAUUGAGAUUUGGAAGUCAUUUGCAGAAAAAAAAAUGAUCCUGGAAAGCAUGGGAGUGAAUAAUCAUGAGAAGAAAAAGUACAUAAGGAGAGCAUAAAAGAGGACCAGGAAAAGAAUCUUGAGUGAUAACAACACUAAGGUGACAGAAAAAGAUGCACCAACUUCAGUCAUCUUCAUGGCUGUUUGAAAAAUUGUUCCCAUGUGUCCAUUCUUCCAUGGGAAGUCUUCACAGAUGAGUUUGAGGCUUGUCCAUUACCUUCAACCUGGUUUUUUAGCCCAUCUCCAGAGAAAGAGCCACAGGCAUACCACUAAUCAAGAAGAAACAAUGAGGAGAUUGGAUAACUUUGCUUUAAUUAACAGAUGUAAUAAGUCACACUUUUAUUGUCUUCAAGAAUUUUUGACAUGGUAGUUUUCUAAAAAUGAUCACUAAUGACUUAUGGUUGCACCUGCCAAUUUCUGAAAUGUCCUUAGAUAUAAAUGAGCAAGCUUGCUUACUGAAUACAUCUUUCAUUAAAAAAUACCAAAUAUUUCUUUUCAUUUUCCCAUUCAGCCUUUGCUCCUUUUAGCUGAUUAUAUAUCUAAUCUUCUUUGAAAAGAAAAAAACAAAUAAAGCAAUCAAAAAAUAAAUGGUUUUUCUUUUC